UCUUUUCUUUUUGGGUUUCUUCCUUUAACGAAUGGAGUCUUGCCAUUGAUCCAUCCUGAGUGUGGAGCUGCAAUUACUCCAAAGGCUUCAGUGCAGCUAAUUAUCCGGCAUACUGGAUGGAUAGGUCAUAAUCUUUGCGAAUCGAGGAUCAUAUCAUAUUAAACGUGCUUACCCCUCUUUAAAAAAAAAAAAAAAAAAAAAAAAAAAGCUUUUUGAAGAUAAAUUCACUUGGACAGUCGGUGGCACAUUUACCAUAUCCGUGAUAGAAUGUCUGAGAUCAUUAAUAUCUGUUGUUCCUAUCCCUCGCUCGAUUAUUCAUCUGGAAACCUAAUAGAGUGAGGAAUUCCUGAUCGCCUUUGCUGGCGGGCUCUUACAUUUCAUCUCAUUGUCCUCCUUCUCAUGUUACAGUUCAUAUUCGAUUCUCCGAGGCUCGUGUCCUUUUGAUAAUGUUUUGGCACUCGCAAUUCUCUUGACCUGAACUUUUCUCUCGUGUCCAAUCGCCAGAUGAUGAAUAAAUUUGACAUUGCACUCCUUACCGGCCAUGUCACUCGAGUCAACUCAAAAAAUUUGGGAUUAAUUGUUGAUACUAGUAGAUGAAUAGAAUCAUUGGUUGUUAAAAUUGGAAUACCCUUUGCGCACGUGUUGAUGGAAACUCUUGUCAGUUGCGAAUACCUCGUGGCUGGAGAAACUCAGAAAUUGUGGGUAAAACUCACGGCGUGCUAUUCCCUAAAGUUUUUGAUCCCAGCUAUCCACAUGCACAACCGCAAGGCACCCAAUGUUGCUUUACUGUGGAGCUGUAGUAUUGAAUAUGGAAUGCCCAGGGGAUCCCCAGCCGUUAGUAUCUGAUGUAACUCUUGGCAAAUUGCAGUCUGUCUUUUCUUAUUUUGGCAAGCUGCAUCUCAAUAAAGAUUGAGAUGUAUAAUACGUUAGCAAGUAACUUCUAAUGCAGAUAUGCAUAUGUUAAGUGCAUAUGAGUUUCGUCACCUACAGUUGAGCUAAACACAUUAAGCAUUCUCUUCUUUUACACUGAAAAUUUGGCUACUGCUUUCUUCUCGUGCAUGCUUAAGUAGUGAGUGAAUCAUCCUGACCUGCUGUAAUUGUGUGCUAGAUGAUGGGAAAAGUGAAUCGAGACAGACUAGCAGAGUAUCUGGGGGAGCUCCAGAGGAAGGAGGACACAAAUGACAGGUACGUAGCAGCUCUGAAGGGAGAGACGUUGACUAGGAAUCCUUACGUGAGGAUUCAACCUGUGCCGAAGCAAGAUAGUGGAGCCAAUGAAGCAGCGAAGGCUGAGGAGAAAAAGAAAUAGACAAAUAGACAGUUAAAUAAGCGCUGCAGUUAAAUUGUGAAGUCUCU
RNAcentral lists this long non-coding RNA (1353 nucleotides) under Eucalyptus grandis. RNAcentral's name for it is "long non-coding RNA (EGRA_LNC003941)". The record is from RNAcentral. Lineage: Eukaryota; Viridiplantae; Streptophyta; Magnoliopsida; Myrtales; Myrtaceae.